ACGGAUAAAUUUUCUCUGACUUUAUUCCGGGAAAGUUACAUAACUUCCCAACAAUCUCAGCCAUUUGAUUAAUCAGAUGUAUCAGAUCUUGCCACCUGUUAACCAUUUUAUUUUUUAAUUUUAAUUAAAACUCAGUGCUUUAUUAUUCAUUUAUUUGCUCUUUCUUCUUCGCUGAAAGGUCCACCGACCACCGCCACCCACUGUUAUCCGUGGUAUGCCGUCCACCGCCGACUCACCACCACACACCGUCAACCACUGUUGACCUACCGCCAUGCCGGCGUUUCUUCUGUUUUGCGAGGAUGAAGAUUAUUUGUGUAUGCCAUGUUAUUAACAAUGUGUUUUCUCUUUUUUGUUGGAAAUUGCUUAAUAAUGGAACCUGUAAUGAUAACUUGUUUGCAACAAACUCUUCUCUUUUGCUGUGUUAUGUGUUAUUUCUGGAAGAAAAAGAAAAUUUGAUUUAGAGUUAGACAUGAGAUUGAAUUGAAUCUCUGAUUUUGAUUUUCAUUUGAUGCAAUUGGUGCUGAUUUGGAGUUAAAUAUAGAUUUCUUCAUUCUGAUGAUUACCGGCAUGUGGUGGUGGUCGGAGAUGGUCGAAAACGGCCGGUCUACGUCGCGGCGGAGGAUUGGCAGAAGAAGCACAAUUUGAAC
RNAcentral lists this long non-coding RNA (647 nucleotides) under Trifolium pratense (red clover). RNAcentral describes it as "long non-coding RNA (TPRA_LNC004587)". The record is from RNAcentral. Lineage: Eukaryota; Viridiplantae; Streptophyta; Magnoliopsida; Fabales; Fabaceae.